Molecule: ribosomal RNA, 442 nt
Filed under: uncultured bacterium
Lineage: Bacteria
Description: bacterial SSU rRNA
Rfam family: Bacterial small subunit ribosomal RNA
Source: RNAcentral
CCUACGGGCGGCUGCAGUAAGGAAUCUUCCUCAAUGGCCGAAAGGCUGAAGGAGCGACAUCGCGUGCAGGAGGAAGCCCUUCGGGGUGUAAACUGCUUUUCUCUAGGAAGAAACAAUGACGGUACUAGAGGAAUAAGGGGUUGCUAAACUCGUGCCAGCAGCAGCGGUAAUACGAGUACCCCGAGCGUUAUCCGGAUUUAUUGGGCGUAAAGCGUGCGCAGACGGUUUAUAACAUCUCCUGUUAAAUCCCAAGGCUCAACCUUGGGGCCGCGGGAGAUAUGGAUAAACUAGAGGCUGGAAGAGGUAAGCGGAAUUGCUGGUGUAGGGGUUAAAUCCGUUAAUAUCAGCAGGAACACCAAAAGCGAAGGCAGCUUACUGGAACAGUUCUGACGUUCAGGCACGAAAGCGUGGGGAGCGAACGGGCUUAGAUACCCCGGUAGUC